RNAcentral lists this ribosomal RNA (827 nucleotides) under uncultured bacterium. RNAcentral's name for it is "bacterial SSU rRNA". It matches the Rfam family "Bacterial small subunit ribosomal RNA", at positions 96 to 981 of the family's 1533-position model. The record is from RNAcentral.
UAGCGUACGGGUGAGUAACACGUAAGAAUCUUCCUCACAAUGUAAAGAAAUUUUACAUAGUCAAAAGGCAUAGUUCCGUUGUGAGAUGAGCUUGCGGAGGAUUAGGUAGUUGGUAGAGUAAAAGCCUACCAAGCCAAAGAUCCUUAGCUGAUUUGAGAGAAUGAUCAGCCACACUGGGACUGAGACACGGCCCAGACGCUUUCGAGCGGCAGCAGUGAGGAAUUUUGGACACUGGGCGAAAGCCUGAUCCAGCUAUAUCGCGUGAGGUAUGACGGCUAUUUUGGUUGAAAUCCUCUUUUCUAAAGGAAAAGAUUAUGACACAUCUUUAGGAACAAGUCCCGGCUAAUCUCGUGCCAGCAGCCGCGGUAAUACGAGAGGGGCAAGCGUUAUUCGGAAUGAUUGGGCGUAAAGCGCACGUAGAUGGGUAUGUUUCUGUCUCAAGAAAAGGCCAAAGCUUCACUUUGGAUCCUUGAAGCAGACCAUAUCUGGAGUAAGUGAAAGGAAAAUAGAAUUCCUAAAGGAGAGGUAAAAUUUGUUGAUCUUAGGAGGAAUACCAAAAGCGAAGGCAGUUUUCUUGCACUUGACUGACAUUGAGGUGCGAAAGCGUGGGGAGCAAAAGGGAUUAGAUACCCCUGUAGUCCACGCCAUCAACUAUGACCAUUCCUUGUUGGACCAGUCUUAUGGUUCAGCAAGUUAGCUAACGCGGAAAAUGGUCCGCCUGAGGAGUACGGUCGCAAGACUAAAACUCAAAGGAAUAGACGGGGGCUCACACAAGUGGUGGAACAUGUGGUUUAAUUCGAAACUACGCGCAAAACCUUACCAGUUCU